AGGGUUUCAAAUAUGUACGCUGAUGGCUGUCUCGGGGUUACAGCCUUGCUGAAUUAUUCACCCUUGUCUUUUGCGUACUUCUUGUUUCCUUGGUGGGUUCCCCCACCACUAUGACAAACAUGAACCUUUUGAAAUUGCAAUCAGCGACAGUAACAAAUUAAUAAUUACAACUUUCAACAACGGAUCUCUUGGAUCUGGCAUCAAUGAAAAACGCAGCGAAAUGCGAUAAGUAGUGUGAAUUGCAGAAUUCAUUGAAUCAUCUAAUCUUUGAACGCACAUUGCGCCCUUUGGUAUUCCAAAGGGCAUGCCUGUUCCAGCGUCAUUUGUACCCUCAAGCUUUGCUUGGUGUUGGGCGUCUUGUCUCUAGCUUUGCUGGAGACUCGCCUUAAAGUAAUUGGCAGCCGGCCUACUGGUUUCGGAGCGCAGCACAACUCCCACUCUCUAUCACCAAAGGUCUAGCAUCCACUAAGCCUUUUUUUCAACUUUUGACCUCGGAUCAGGUAGGGAUACCCGCUGAACUUAAGCAUAUCAAUAAGCGGAGGAA
This 544-nucleotide ribosomal RNA is filed under the name Alternaria alternata. RNAcentral describes it as "eukaryotic LSU rRNA". The stretch from base 169 to 322 matches the Rfam family "5.8S ribosomal RNA". The record is from RNAcentral. Lineage: Eukaryota; Fungi; Ascomycota; Dothideomycetes; Pleosporales; Pleosporaceae.